Drosophila biarmipes is the source of this 524-nucleotide long non-coding RNA. RefSeq lists it as uncharacterized. Lineage: Eukaryota; Metazoa; Arthropoda; Insecta; Diptera; Drosophilidae. The record is from RefSeq and is a predicted model, not a curated record. The transcript has 2 exons.
GGAAAUUUGUUCUUUCUUAAGACUUCCGCAUGUUUUGCAAUUAAAUGACGCUUUAAAUUUGUUGCGUGAGAGCCUGCUAACUUCACACUAAAAUUAAAAUACUCCAAGCGCACCGAAUCCAUAAAAGCAAGUGAGGUGUAGAAACUGCAUAAGCUUAGCAGCCAUUUUCUUUAUUUUCAUUUUAAUUAACUCGAUCCACUGUACAACUUGGGAUCUCGCUGGCAGAAUUAUGGAGUUAUUCCCAGAACAGGAUAUUAUUGGAACAUAAAUUGGAAAUUUUAAGUUGAUUGGUCUAAUUAUAAAAUUUAUUUUUUAAUUAAAUCGAUUCCUAAUAUUUUAUCACAGGGAAAGCGAAUCGUAAAUUUACAAAAUGAAAAUUAUGUGGGAUUAUAUAUUUAGUAGUCUGUAUCUCAAUUUCGGACCGAGUGUCAGGAAAAAUAUCUGCAUUUUCUUUGAGGAUUGAUAUGUUUGCACCAGUGUCUAUUAAAAAUAAAAGUUGCUUUCCUGUUGCUACAUUUUUAAAA